This 467-nucleotide ribosomal RNA is filed under the name uncultured bacterium. RNAcentral describes it as "partial 16S ribosomal RNA". It matches the Rfam family "Bacterial small subunit ribosomal RNA", at positions 28 to 507 of the family's 1533-position model. The record is from RNAcentral.
GAUGAACGCUGGCGGCGCGCCUAACACGUGCGAGUCGAACGAUUAAAGCACCUUCGGGUGUGUAUAAAGUGGCGAACGGCUGAGUAACACGUGGGCAACCUGCCCCUCUCAUUGGGAUAGCCACGGGAAACCGUGGAUAAUACCGAAUACUUCGGGACUUCCGCAUGGAAGACUCGAGAAAGCUCCGGCGGAGAGGGAUGGGCCCGCGGCCUGUUAGCUUGUUGGUGGGGUAAUGGCCUACCAAGGCAAUGAUGGGUAGCUGGGUUGAGAGACCGACCAGCCAGAUUGGGACUGAGACACGGCCCAGACUCCUACGGGAGGCAGCAGUGGGGAAUCUUGCACAAUGGGCGAAAGCCUGAUGCAGCGACGCCGCGUGCGGGAUGAAGGCCUUCGGGUUGUAAACCGCUUUCAGCAGGGACGAGGCGAAAGUGACGGUACCUGCAGAAGAAGCCCCGGCUAACUACGUG